Molecule: small nuclear RNA, 64 nt
Filed under: Microcebus murinus (gray mouse lemur)
Lineage: Eukaryota; Metazoa; Chordata; Mammalia; Primates; Cheirogaleidae
Description: U7 small nuclear RNA (ENSMICG00000025597.3)
Rfam family: U7 small nuclear RNA
About the family: Animal histone pre-mRNAs are spliced by a different mechanism than nuclear pre-mRNAs and self-splicing introns. This processing involves the U7 snRNP, which contains only one RNA species: U7.
Source: Rfam by way of RNAcentral
UAGAAUUAUGGUUCUUUUAGAAUUUGUCUAGCAGGUUUUCUGGUGACAUCACCAAAAAAUUUAA